UUCCCAUGAGCAGAUAUAGGACAAGCAGUAAGCCAAUACCACCCUUGUAGCGGAGCCUGGUGAACGUGCAAAAGAGACAGAACAUGGAAAGAGAGGGAGAGUGAAGCACAGAUACGAUGAUGGGAGAUGACAGAUUAAGAGGUAAAAGAUGGAGGUGCCAUGGCAGACAUCAUCUCUCUUUUCUCACCGGACACAGAGGAAACAAGAUGGAGAGCCUCAAAGGAAUUCAGCAGCAGCAGGAUCCAAGUCGAUCCCUCUUAUUUUGAGGCUGACCGUGAUGUAGGAGUUUGGAUUCCCCGCCCACCAAAUUGAUUGACAGCUGCAUAUUAACAUGUCUCCACAGCAGCACAUAUAGACAUAUCAACAAGACAGGACUUGCGCAAAGCAACUGGGAUUAAAAGAUCUGGUUGGCUCUCUGUGAUCAUCAAUCAUCAUUAAAUUUGCUCAAGAAUGA
Danio aesculapii is the source of this 454-nucleotide long non-coding RNA. RefSeq lists it as uncharacterized. Lineage: Eukaryota; Metazoa; Chordata; Actinopteri; Cypriniformes; Danionidae. The transcript is spliced from 3 exons. The record is from RefSeq and is a predicted model, not a curated record.